This 73-nucleotide transfer RNA is filed under the name Paractinoplanes atraurantiacus. RNAcentral's name for it is "Actinoplanes sp. Y16 tRNA". It matches the Rfam family "tRNA". From Rfam's summary of the family: Transfer RNA (tRNA) molecules are approximately 80 nucleotides in length. Their secondary structure includes four short double-helical elements and three loops (D, anti-codon, and T loops). Further hydrogen bonds mediate the characteristic L-shaped molecular structure. tRNAs have two regions of fundamental functional importance: the anti-codon, which is responsible for specific mRNA codon recognition, and the 3' end, to which the tRNAs corresponding amino acid is attached (by aminoacyl-tRNA synthetases). tRNAs cope with the degeneracy of the genetic code in two manners: having more than one tRNA (with a specific anti-codon) for a particular amino acid; and 'wobble' base-pairing, i.e. permitting non-standard base-pairing at the 3rd anti-codon position. Lineage: Bacteria; Bacillati; Actinomycetota; Actinomycetes; Micromonosporales; Micromonosporaceae. The record is from Rfam by way of RNAcentral.
GCGCCGCUAGCUCAACGGGUAGAGCAACCGCCUCUUAAGCGGUGGGUUCGGGGUUCGAGUCCCUGGCGGCGCA